UCGCCCUUAAAGUUUGAUCCUGGCUCAGGAUGAACGCUGGCGGCGUGCUUAACACAUGCGGGUCGAACGGGGGUAACUUCGUUGAGAUCUUCGGAUCAAAGCGAAAUAUCUCGAGUGGCGGACGGGCGAGCAACACGUGAGUAACCUGCCUUUUGCUGGGGAAUAACUGAGGGAAACCAUGGCUAAUACCGCAUGUUGUGCAUGACAGGCAUCUGUUAUGUAUGAAAGGAGAACUCCGGCAGAAGAUGGGCUCGCGUCCGAUUAGGUAGUUGGUGGGGUAACGGCCUACCAAGCCCCGCGAUCGGUAGCCGGACUGAUAGGUCGAACGGCCACAUUGGGACUGAGACACGGCCCAGACUCCUACGGGAGGCAGCAGUGGGGAAUAUUGGGCAAUGGGCGAAAGCCUGACCCAGCGACGCCGCGUGAAGGACGAAGGCCUUCGGGUUGUAAACUUCUUUGGGGAGGGACGAAAAUGACGGUACCUCCAGAACAAGCCACGGCUAACUACGUGCCAGCAGCCGCGGUAAUACGUAGGUGGCAAGCGUUAUCCGGAUUUACUGGGUGUAAAGGGCGCGCAGGCGGCCCCAAAAGUCAGAUGUGAAAGAUCAAGGCUUAACUUUGACAUGUCAUCUGAAACUUUGGGACUUGAGUAUCAGAGGGGAAAGCGGAAUUCCUGGUGGAGCGGUAAAAUGCGCAGAGAUCAGGAGGAACACCGGUGGCGAAGGCGGCUUUCUGGCUGACAACUGACGCUGAGGCGCGAAAGCGUGGGGAGCAAACAGAAUUAGAUACCCUGGUAGUCCACGCCGUA
This 808-nucleotide ribosomal RNA is filed under the name uncultured bacterium. RNAcentral describes it as "bacterial SSU rRNA". It matches the Rfam family "Bacterial small subunit ribosomal RNA", at positions 1 to 804 of the family's 1533-position model. The record is from RNAcentral.